This 387-nucleotide ribosomal RNA is filed under the name uncultured bacterium. RNAcentral's name for it is "bacterial SSU rRNA". It matches the Rfam family "Bacterial small subunit ribosomal RNA", at positions 29 to 417 of the family's 1533-position model. The record is from RNAcentral.
AUUGAACGCUGGCGGAAUGCUUUACACAUGCAAGUCGAGCGGCAGCGCGGGGGCAACCCUGGCGGCGAGCGGCGAACGGGUGAGUAACAUAUCGGAACGUACCCAGUCGUGGGGGAUAACUAUCCGAAAGGAUAGCUAAUACCGCAUACGUCCUGAGGGAGAAAGCGGGGGAUCGCAAGACCUCGCGCGAUUGGAGCGGCCGAUAUCGGAUUAGCUAGUUGGUGGGGUAAGGGCUCACCAAGGCGACGAUCCGUAGCGGGUCUGAGAGGACGACCCGCCACACUGGAACUGAGACACGGUCCAGACUCCUACGGGAGGCAGCAGUGGGGAAUUUUGGACAAUGGGGGCAACCCUGAUCCAGCCAUUCCGCGUGAGUGAAGAAGGCCU